This 400-nucleotide ribosomal RNA is filed under the name uncultured Alteromonas sp. RNAcentral describes it as "bacterial SSU rRNA". It matches the Rfam family "Bacterial small subunit ribosomal RNA", at positions 498 to 897 of the family's 1533-position model. The record is from RNAcentral. Lineage: Bacteria; Pseudomonadati; Pseudomonadota; Gammaproteobacteria; Alteromonadales; Alteromonadaceae.
UAACUCCGUGCCAGCAGCCGCGGUAAUACGGAGGGUGCGAGCGUUAAUCGGAAUUACUGGGCGUAAAGCGCACGCAGGCGGUUUGUUAAGCUAGAUGUGAAAGCCCCGGGCUCAACCUGGGAUGGUCAUUUAGAACUGGCAGACUAGAGUCUUGGAGAGGGGAGUGGAAUUCCAGGUGUAGCGGUGAAAUGCGUAGAUAUCUGGAGGAACAUCAGUGGCGAAGGCGACUCCCUGGCCAAAGACUGACGCUCAUGUGCGAAAGUGUGGGUAGCGAACAGGAUUAGAUACCCUGGUAGUCCACACCGUAAACGCUGUCUACUAGCUGUGUGUGCCUUUAAGGCGUGCGUAGCGAAGCUAACGCGCUAAGUAGACCGCCUGGGGAGUACGGCCGCAAGGUUAA